Molecule: unclassified non-coding RNA, 207 nt
Filed under: soil metagenome
Description: partial contains 5.8S ribosomal RNA, internal transcribed spacer 2, and large subunit ribosomal RNA
Source: RNAcentral
AACCUAGCACACCUGCGGUGUGUACCUGCGGAAGGAUCAUUACUGAGUGAGGGCCUUCGGGCUCGACCUCCAACCCUUUGUGAACACAACUUGUUGCUUCGGGGGCGACCCUGCCGUUUCGACGGCGAGCGCCCCCGGAGGCCUUCAAACACUGCAUCUUUGCGUCGGAGUUUAAGUAAAUUAAACAAAACUUUUAGCAAUGGAUCU